AGAACGAACGCUGGCGGCAGGCCUAACACAUGCAAGUCGAACGCACGUACCCGUAAGCUUGGAUCCCGGGAGUAUCGCGUGGGAACGUGCCCUUCUCUACAGAAUACUCCUGGGAAACUGGGGAUAAUACCGGAAACCCCCUUUUGGGCAAAGAUUUAUCCUACAAGGAUCGGCCCGCGAUGGAUUAAGUAGUUGGUGGUGUAAUGGCUCACCAACCCGACGAUCCUUAGCUGGUUUGAGGAGGAGAUCAGCCACACUGGGACUGAGACACGGCACAUACUCCUACGGGAGGCAGCAGUGGAGAAUCUCAGACUACGGGGGCAACCCUGAUCGAGCCAUGCCGCGAUGAUUGAUGAAAGCCUUAAGGUUGUAAAGCUCUUUCAGCUGUGAAGAUCAUGACGGUGUCCAGCCCAAUAAGUCCCGGCUAACUCCUUGCCAUCAGCCCCGGUAAUACUGAACGGACUAGCGUUGUUCAGAAUUACUGGGCGUCAAGCCCACGUACGCGGAUCAAAAAAUUGGGGAUGAAAUCCCCGGACUCACCCCCGGAACUGCCUUCAAAACUAUUGCUCUGGAUUUCAAGAGAAGUGAGUGGACUUCCGAGUGUACAGGUGAAGUUCAUUGAUAUUCUGAGGAACACCAGUGGCGAAGGCGGCUCACUGUCUCGAUACUGACGCUGAAGUGCUCAAGCGUGUGGAGCCAACACGAUGAGAUACCCUGGUACUCCACGCCGUAAACGAUGAAUGCCCGACGUCGCGCAGCAUGCUGUUCGAUGUCACACCUAACGGAUUAUACAUUCUGCCUGGGGAGUACGGUCUCAAGAGGGAACCUCAAAGGAGUUGAGGGGGGGGCGCACAAGCGGUGGAGCAUGUGGUUUAUUUCGAAGCAACGCGCAGAUCGUUCCCAUCCCUUGACAUAGCUGGCCCUCUCCAGAGAUGGAGUUUCCUCUUAAGAGGCUGGGUGACAGGUGCUGCAUGGCUGUUGUCAGCUCGUGUCCUGAGAUGUUCGCUUAAGUCCGGCAUCGAGCGCAACCCACGUUCGUAGUUUCCAGCAUUCAGUUGGGCACUAAUAUGGAAACAGGCGAGGAUAAGUCGGAGGAAGGUGUGGCCGACGUCAAGUGGUCAUGGCCCUUACGGGAUGGGAUACACACAGUGGUUCAAAGGUGGUGACAAUGGGUUAAUCCCCAAAAGCCUUUUCAGUUCGGGUUGUGGUUUGCAAAUUGGGGGCAUGAAGUUGGGAAUGCUAGUAAUUGCGUAAUAGCAUGUGGUGGGGAUGAAUGUUUUCGGGGGUUGUGUACACCGCGCGUGUCACCACAGGAGAGUUUGCUG
Molecule: ribosomal RNA, 1325 nt
Filed under: Paracoccus sp. Cin_1_6
Lineage: Bacteria; Pseudomonadati; Pseudomonadota; Alphaproteobacteria; Rhodobacterales; Paracoccaceae
Description: partial 16S ribosomal RNA
Rfam family: Bacterial small subunit ribosomal RNA
Source: RNAcentral